GGGAAUCUACCGUGCCCUGCGGAAUAGCUCCGGGAAACUGGAAUUAAUACCGCAUACGCCCUACGGGGGAAAGAUUUAUCGGCAAAGGAUGAGCCCGCGUUGGAUUAGCUAGUUGGUGGGGUAAAGGCCUACCAAGGCGACGAUCCAUAGCUGGUCUGAGAGGAUGAUCAGCCACAUUGGGACUGAGACACGGCCCAAACUCCUACGGGAGGCAGCAGUGGGGAAUAUUGGACAAUGGGCGCAAGCCUGAUCCAGCCAUGCCGCGUGUGUGAUGAAGGCCUUAGGGUUGUAAAGCACUUUCACCGGUGAAGAUAAUGACGGUAACCGGAGAAGAAGCCCCGGCUAACUUCGUGCCAGCAGCCGCGGUAAUACGAAGGGGGCUAGCGUUGUUCGGAAUUACUGGGCGUAAAGCGCACGUAGGCGGAUAUUUAAGUCAGGGGUGAAAUCCCAGAGCUCAACUCUGGAACUGCCUUUGAUACUGGGUAUCUUGAGUAUGGAAGAGGUGAGUGGAAUUCCGAGU
Molecule: ribosomal RNA, 520 nt
Filed under: uncultured bacterium
Lineage: Bacteria
Description: bacterial SSU rRNA
Rfam family: Bacterial small subunit ribosomal RNA
Source: RNAcentral